Long non-coding RNA from Magallana angulata, 834 nucleotides. RefSeq lists it as uncharacterized. The transcript has 3 exons. The record is from RefSeq and is a predicted model, not a curated record. NCBI's taxonomy places the organism in Eukaryota, Metazoa, Mollusca, Bivalvia, Ostreida, Ostreidae.
UAUCCAUAUCCGCAAGAAAUUCUCUCAUUAGCAAUUUAGCAAGAUAGACCGUGGAUAUUCAUAUUGUGUUCAAAACUGGAUUAAGAUUAAUGUAAACGGGAAAUGAAUGUAUACAUUGUUUAAAACGAAAAAAGGUAAAUGGCGAAAAAAUGUCUGCAAGUGUUAUUAAUCCUCGGAAUGCUGUUCAUUCGCAGAAGUUCCCAACAAUUACCCGGCGCUAUCUACGGAGCAAGCUUUGAUGCUUCUGCUGAAAAUAUACUUUUGAAUGAAUAUCUGAACAAUUUAUGUUUGGUAAAUGGCGUUUAUCAACAGUGCGAUAGAGUCGACAAAGAGAGAAAAAAACUCUUGUUACUGUUUAUAUUUUAUCUGCUUUGUAUUCCUUGGCAGUCGUCCACACCAAUCAUCGUAGAAAUUAUGGACACCAUCAUACCCGGCCCUAACCCCGGCCCUGACCCAGGGCCUGGUCCCGGGCCAGGUCCAAAUUAGCGUUUUGUAUCGACUCGGGAUUAAAACUCACAUCUGCAUUCUGUUUAUUGUGAAAUGAUAACCAAUAUAACUGAAAACUUCUUCAUAAAAAAUGUAAACAGCGACUGCGUAAAUACUAGAAUUCACCGGUGUCUUGUCAGUACCAUGACUUGGAGGACUACAGUGUGUUUUCCAAGAGUGUUUCUCUCAGAAUCAAAUAAAAUACUAGACGUGCAUGUAAAUGUGUUCUUAUGAUGAAAUGUAACAAAAAUCACUGCACUGUUUAUGCCAGUAUCACGUUAGUUCUCCCAUGUCUACAAAUUCCACGAGAAAAUCAAUGAAACUGCAAUAAACUAGACAUACCGGUGU